GAAGAGUUAUAACAAGUUAGACUAUAAGAAGGUGGUGACGAUCUCUGAGAAGUUCAGGGAUUCAUCGGAUCGACUCUUUGGAACAUUUGGUACCAGGGGAGCUAAGCAGAACCCAAAGAAGAAAUCACUGGAUGCUUUGAUAAAGAGGCUCAAGGAUGUGAGCUGAGCUGCAUGAUUAGUAAGAGAUGUUCUUUUUCACUGCAUACAUUGGUUCUGUAAUUUAGAUUGUUUUGUUUAUUUGUG
Molecule: unclassified non-coding RNA, 243 nt
Filed under: Hevea brasiliensis (rubber tree)
Lineage: Eukaryota; Viridiplantae; Streptophyta; Magnoliopsida; Malpighiales; Euphorbiaceae
Source: RNAcentral